UUAAGUUCAGCGCGUAUUCCUACCUGAUCCGAGGUCAACCAUUGAAAAUUUCCCGGUAAAGGGAGAAGACCGGGUCCCGGGUGCCCUUAUCCAAUACGUGCUCAAUUAAAAGCUCAGUGUACCGGGGGAACCACAGGCCGCCGUCAUUGUCUUUGGGAGGGGCAGGAGCCCCCGAGGGGGCCUCCACCAAACCGUCCAAC
RNAcentral lists this unclassified non-coding RNA (200 nucleotides) under Cladophialophora sp. RNAcentral's name for it is "partial internal transcribed spacer 2". Lineage: Eukaryota; Fungi; Ascomycota; Eurotiomycetes; Chaetothyriales; Herpotrichiellaceae. The record is from RNAcentral.